RNAcentral lists this ribosomal RNA (467 nucleotides) under uncultured bacterium. RNAcentral describes it as "bacterial SSU rRNA". It matches the Rfam family "Bacterial small subunit ribosomal RNA", at positions 28 to 507 of the family's 1533-position model. The record is from RNAcentral.
GAUGAACGCUGGCGGCGUGCCUAACACAUGCAAGUCGAGCGAGGUUUAGGCUUCGGCCGACGACCUAGCGGCGAACGGUCGCGUAACACGUAAGCAACCUGCCCUAAAGUUGGGGAUAGCCCGCCGAAAGGCAGAUUAAUACCGAAUGUGGAUAUGUAUUCGCAUGUAUAUAUACCUGAAGCAGCGAUGCGCUUUAGGAUGGGCUUGCGGCCUAUCAGUUAGUUGGUGUGGGUAACGGCCUACCAAGACGACGACGGGUAGCUGGUCUGAGAGGAUGGUCAGCCGGAUUGGGACUGAGACACGGCCCAGACUCCUACGGGGGGCAGCAAUUAGGAAUCUUGCGCAAUGGGCGAAAGCCUGACGCAGCGACGCCGCGUGACUGAUGAAGUCUUUCGAGAUGUAAAGGUCUUUUGUUGGGGACGAAGGAAGUGACGGUACCCGACGAAUAAGCCCCGGCUAACUACGUG